CGCGUAGGCGGUCUGUUAAGUUCGGUGUGAAAGCCCCCGGCUUACCCGGGGAGCUGCGCCGGAAACCGACAGACUCGAGUACCGGAGAGGAGGGUGGAAUUCCUGGUGUAGCGGUGAAAUGCGUAGAUAUCAGGAGGAACACCGGUGGCGAAGGCGGCCCUCUGGACGGAUACUGACGCUGAGGCGCGAAAGCGUGGGGAUCAAACA
RNAcentral lists this ribosomal RNA (207 nucleotides) under uncultured bacterium. RNAcentral's name for it is "partial 16S ribosomal RNA". It matches the Rfam family "Bacterial small subunit ribosomal RNA", at positions 568 to 774 of the family's 1533-position model. The record is from RNAcentral.